AGUGCAUGUGGUGGAUGCCUUGGCGAUUACAGGCGAUGAAGGACGCGAUAGCCUGCGAAAUGCUUCGGGGAGUUGGCAAAUAAGCUUUGAUCCGAAGAUGUCCGAAUGGGGAAACCUACCCGCAAGGGUAUCUCAUGCUGAAUACAUAGGCAUGUGAGGCAAACCUGGUGAACUGAAACAUCUAAGUAGCCAGAGGAAAAGAAAUCAACCGAGAUUCCGAAAGUAGUGGCGAGCGAAAUCGGACCAGCCUGCAAGAUUUAGCUUCGACGUUAGCAAAACGGUCUGGAAAGUCCGGCGACAGUGGGUGAUAGCCCCGUAUGCGAAAACGUUGAUGUGGAACUAGGCUUGCGACAAGUAGGGCGGGACACGUGAAAUCCUGUCUGAAGAUGGGGGGACCAUCCUCCAAGGCUAAAUACUCGUAAUCGACCGAUAGUGCACCAGUACCGUGAGGGAAAGGCGAAAAGAACCCCGGGAGGGGAGUGAAAUAGAUCCUGAAACCGCAUGCAUACAAACAGUCGGAGCCUCGCAAGGGGUGACGGCGUACCUUUUGUAUAAUGGGUCAGCGACUUACAUUCAGUGGCAAGCUUAACCGUAUAGGGGAGGCGCAGGGAAACCGAGUCUUAAUAGGGCGUCUAGUCGCUGGGUGUAGACCCGAAACCGGAUGAUCUAUCCAUGGCCAGGGUGAAGGUGAGGUAACACUCACUGGAGGCCCGAACCCACUAGUGUUGAAAAACUAGGGGAUGAGCUGUGGAUAGGGGUGAAAGGCUAAACAAAUCCGGAAAUAGCUGGUUCUCUCCGAAAACUAUUUAGGUAGUGCCUCGUGUAUUGCUCCAGGGGGUAGAGCACUGUAAUGGUUGGGGGGCUCAUUGCGAGUUACCUCGCCAUAGCAAACUCCGAAUACCUGGAAGUAUGAGCACGGGAGACAGACGCCGGGUGCUAACGUCCGACGUCAAGAGGGAAACAACCCAGACCGCCAGCUAAGGUCCCCAAGAUUGGCUAAGUGGGAAACGAAGUGGGAAGGCUAAAACAGUCAGGAGGUUGGCUUAGAAGCAGCCACCCUUUAAAGAAAGCGUAAUAGCUCACUGAUCGAGUCGUCCUGCGCGGAAGAUGUAACGGGGCUAAGCCAGUCACCGAAGCUGCGGAUCACAGUAAUGUGAUGGUAGGAGAGCGUUCCGUAGGCCUGUGAAGGUGUCUUGUAAAGGAUGCUGGAGGUAUCGGAAGUGCGAAUGCUGACAUGAGUAGCGAUAAAGCGGGUGAAAAGCCCGCUCGCCGUAAACCCAAGGUUUCCUACGCAACGUUCAUCGGCGUAGGGUGAGUCGGCCCCUAAGGCGAGGGCGAGAGCCGUAGCUGAUGGGAAUCCGGUUAAUAUUCCGGAACCGCCGUCAAGUGCGAUGUGGGGACGGAGAAGGUUACCUCAGCCAACUGUUGGAAUAGUUGGUUUAAGCGUGUAGUCGUGCCGCCUAGGCAAAUCCGGGCGGCUUAGAUAAGGCGUGAUGACGAGCGGACAUGUCCGUGAAGUGAGCGAUACCAUGCUUCCAAGAAAAGCCACUAAGCUUCAGCUUGACGGGACCGUACCGCAAACCGACACAGGUGGGUGUGAUGAGUAUUCUCAGGCGCUUGAGAGAACUCGGGAGAAGGAACUCGGCAAAUUUGUACCGUAACUUCGGGAUAAGGUACGCCCUAAGUAAGUGAAGUUGUACAAACGGAGCUGAACAGGGCCGCAGUGAAUAGGUGGCUGCGACUGUUUAAUAAAAACACAGCACUCUGCAAACACGAAAGUGGACGUAUAGGGUGUGACGCCUGCCCGGUGCCGGAAGGUUAAGUGAUGGGGUGCAAGCUCUUGAUCGAAGCCCCGGUAAACGGCGGCCGUAACUAUAACGGUCCUAAGGUAGCGAAAUUCCUUGUCGGGUAAGUUCCGACCUGCACGAAUGGCGUAACGAUGGCCACACUGUCUCCUCCCGAGACUCAGCGAAGUUGAAAUGUUUGUGAUGAUGCAAUCUCCCCGCGGCUAGACGGAAAGACCCCAUGAACCUUUACUGUAGCUUUGCAUUGGACUUUGAACCGAUCUGUGUAGGAUAGGUGGGAGGCUUUGAAGCGAGGACGCUAGUUCUCGUGGAGCCGUCCUUGAAAUACCACCCUGGUUUGUUUGAGGUUCUAACCUUGGCCCGUUAUCCGGGUCGGGGACAGUGCAUGGUAGGCAGUUUGACUGGGGCGGUCUCCUCCUAAAGGGUAACGGAGGAGUUCGAAGGUACGCUAGGCACGGUCGGACAUCGUGCUAAUAGUGCAAGGGCAUAAGCGUGCUUAACUGCGAGACCGACAAGUCGAGCAGGUACGAAAGUAGGACCUAGUGAUCCGGUGGUUCUGUAUGGAAGGGCCAUCGCUCAACGGAUAAAAGGUACUCUGGGGAUAACAGGCUGAUACCGCCCAAGAGUUCAUAUCGACGGCGGUGUUUGGCACCUCGAUGUCGGCUCAUCACAUCCUGGGGCUGUAGCCGGUCCCAAGGGUAUGGCUGUUCGCCAUUUAAAGUGGUACGUGAGCUGGGUUUAAAACGUCGUGAGACAGUUUGGUCCCUAUCUGCCGUGGGCGUUGGAAGUUUGACGGGGGCUGCUCCUAGUACGAGAGGACCGGAGUGGACGAACCUCUGGUGUACCGGUUGUCACGCCAGUGGCAUCGCCGGGUAGCUAAGUUCGGAAGAGAUAACCGCUGAAAGCAUCUAAGCGGGAAACUUGCCUGAAGAUGAGACUUCCCUGGAGACUUGAUCUCCCUAAAGAGCCGUUCGAGACCAGGACGUUGAUAGGCUGGGUGUGGAAGUGCAGUAAUGCAUUAAGCUAACCAGUACUAAUUGCUCGUGAGGCUUGACU
This 2861-nucleotide ribosomal RNA is filed under the name Derxia gummosa DSM 723. Its description in RNAcentral is "bacterial LSU rRNA". It matches the Rfam family "Bacterial large subunit ribosomal RNA". Lineage: Bacteria; Pseudomonadati; Pseudomonadota; Betaproteobacteria; Burkholderiales; Alcaligenaceae. The record is from RNAcentral.